CCUGGUGGCUAUGGCGAGGGACCCCAACCCGAUCCCAUUCCGAACUCGGCCGUUAAAACCCUCUGCGCCAAUGGUACUGCAUCUUAAGAUGCGGGAGAGUAGGGCGCCGCCAGGC
Molecule: ribosomal RNA, 115 nt
Organism: Pseudoxanthobacter soli DSM 19599
Lineage: Bacteria; Pseudomonadati; Pseudomonadota; Alphaproteobacteria; Hyphomicrobiales; Segnochrobactraceae
Source: Rfam